UCAGAGACCUCAUGUUUAGAUUACUUCAAUCGAUUUAGCAUAUUUGGUAUCGAUUUCACUUUAUUGCUGGCAUUAAAAAUUUUACGAGGGUAGAAGCUAAUUAGCGAUAACGAUUGGAAGUGUUAAGAUAGGUUUAACUGGGACCUAGCUUGUGGGAAACAAUUGAUUAUGCUUAUGUUUUAAUAUUUAUUUGUCCUUUUACUGAAGAAUAAUUUGCUUUUGGAAUUCUUCCUCAAGUUUGGAGUGGGUGAGUGAAAUUUUGCAAAGGUGGAUUGGAUUGCAGAUGAUUGGAUUUGUCUUU
Molecule: unclassified non-coding RNA, 301 nt
Filed under: Hevea brasiliensis (rubber tree)
Lineage: Eukaryota; Viridiplantae; Streptophyta; Magnoliopsida; Malpighiales; Euphorbiaceae
Source: RNAcentral